GACACCUACGGGACGCAGCAGUAAGGGAUAUUGGUCAAUGGGGGAAACCCUGAACCAGCAACGCCGCGUGAGGGAAGACGGUUUUCGGAUUGUAAACCUCUGUCCUCUGUGAAGAUGAUGACGGUAGCAGAGGAGGAGGCUCCGGCUAACUACGUGCCAGCAGCCGCGGUAAUACGUAGGGAGCGAGCGUUGUCCGGAUUUACUGGGUGUAAAGGGUGCGUAGGCGGCUGGGCAAGGCAGUAGCGAAAUCCAUGGGCUUAACCCAUGAACUGCUAUUGAAACUGUCGAGCUUGAGGGAAGUAGAG
RNAcentral lists this ribosomal RNA (305 nucleotides) under uncultured bacterium. Its description in RNAcentral is "bacterial SSU rRNA". It matches the Rfam family "Bacterial small subunit ribosomal RNA", at positions 334 to 656 of the family's 1533-position model. The record is from RNAcentral.